UGCCAGCAGCCGCGGUAAUACGGAGGGGGCUAACGUUAAUCGGAAUUACUGGGCGUAAAGCGUUCGCAGGCUGUUUUACAAGUCAGAUGUGAAAUCCCCGAGCUCAACUUGGGAACUGCGUUUGAAACUGUAAGACUAGAGUGUGUCAGAGGGGGGUAGAAUUCCACGUGUAGCAGUGAAAUGCGUAGAUAUGUGGAGGAAUACCAAUGGCGAAGGCAGCCCCCUGGGAUAACACUGACGCUCAUGAACGAAAGCGUGGGGAGCAAACAGGAUUAGAUA
Molecule: ribosomal RNA, 279 nt
Filed under: uncultured bacterium
Lineage: Bacteria
Description: partial 16S ribosomal RNA
Rfam family: Bacterial small subunit ribosomal RNA
Source: RNAcentral